Molecule: ribosomal RNA, 253 nt
Filed under: uncultured bacterium
Lineage: Bacteria
Description: partial 16S ribosomal RNA
Rfam family: Bacterial small subunit ribosomal RNA
Source: RNAcentral
UACGGGGGGGGCAAGCGUUGUUCGGAAUUACUGGGCGUAAAGGGCUCGUAGGCGGCCAACUAAGUCAGACGUGAAAUCCCUCGGCUUAACCGGGGAACUGCGUCUGAUACUGGAUGGCUUGAGUUUGGGAGAGGGACGCGGAAUUCCAGGUGUAGCGGUGAAAUGCGUAGAUAUCUGGAGGAACACCGGUGGUGAAGGCGGCGUCCUGGACCAACACUGACACUGAUGAGCGAAAGCCAGGGGAGCAAACGGG